AAAAAGGGCUUCUGCUAUGAGUAGCACAGUAAGACAGCUGAUUGCUCUCUCUGUGUGGAAUUGACAUCAGAGAUUUUGGAAGCAUAAUUUGUUUGGUAUCUGGGCAGCUAAUGAUCGUUUGUCCUGGUACCCAC
Small nuclear RNA from Molossus molossus (Pallas's mastiff bat), 134 nucleotides. RefSeq annotates it as U11 spliceosomal RNA. The transcript has a single exon. The record is from RefSeq and is a predicted model, not a curated record. Lineage: Eukaryota; Metazoa; Chordata; Mammalia; Chiroptera; Molossidae.